Molecule: ribosomal RNA, 2932 nt
Filed under: Escherichia coli
Lineage: Bacteria; Pseudomonadati; Pseudomonadota; Gammaproteobacteria; Enterobacterales; Enterobacteriaceae
Description: bacterial LSU rRNA
Rfam family: Bacterial large subunit ribosomal RNA
Source: RNAcentral
GGGUUGUGAGGUUAAGCGACUAAGCGUACACGGUGGAUGCCCUGGCAGUCAGAGGCGAUGAAGGACGUGCUAAUCUGCGAUAAGCGUCGGUAAGGUGAUAUGAACCGUUAUAACCGGCGAUUUCCGAAUGGGGAAACCCAGUGUGUUUCGACACACUAUCAUUAACUGAAUCCAUAGGUUAAUGAGGCGAACCGGGGGAACUGAAACAUCUAAGUACCCCGAGGAAAAGAAAUCAACCGAGAUUCCCCCAGUAGCGGCGAGCGAACGGGGAGCAGCCCAGAGCCUGAAUCAGUGUGUGUGUUAGUGGAAGCGUCUGGAAAGGCGCGCGAUACAGGGUGACAGCCCCGUACACAAAAAUGCACAUGCUGUGAGCUCGAUGAGUAGGGCGGGACACGUGGUAUCCUGUCUGAAUAUGGGGGGACCAUCCUCCAAGGCUAAAUACUCCUGACUGACCGAUAGUGAACCAGUACCGUGAGGGAAAGGCGAAAAGAACCCCGGCGAGGGGAGUGAAAAAGAACCUGAAACCGUGUACGUACAAGCAGUGGGAGCACGCUUAGGCGUGUGACUGCGUACCUUUUGUAUAAUGGGUCAGCGACUUAUAUUCUGUAGCAAGGUUAACCGAAUAGGGGAGCCGAAGGGAAACCGAGUCUUAACUGGGCGUUAAGUUGCAGGGUAUAGACCCGAAACCCGGUGAUCUAGCCAUGGGCAGGUUGAAGGUUGGGUAACACUAACUGGAGGACCGAACCGACUAAUGUUGAAAAAUUAGCGGAUGACUUGUGGCUGGGGGUGAAAGGCCAAUCAAACCGGGAGAUAGCUGGUUCUCCCCGAAAGCUAUUUAGGUAGCGCCUCGUGAAUUCAUCUCCGGGGGUAGAGCACUGUUUCGGCAAGGGGGUCAUCCCGACUUACCAACCCGAUGCAAACUGCGAAUACCGGAGAAUGUUAUCACGGGAGACACACGGCGGGUGCUAACGUCCGUCGUGAAGAGGGAAACAACCCAGACCGCCAGCUAAGGUCCCAAAGUCAUGGUUAAGUGGGAAACGAUGUGGGAAGGCCCAGACAGCCAGGAUGUUGGCUUAGAAGCAGCCAUCAUUUAAAGAAAGCGUAAUAGCUCACUGGUCGAGUCGGCCUGCGCGGAAGAUGUAACGGGGCUAAACCAUGCACCGAAGCUGCGGCAGCGACGCUGAUGCGUUGUUGGGUAGGGGAGCGUUCUGUAAGCCUGCGAAGGUGUGCUGUGAGGCAUGCUGGAGGUAUCAGAAGUGCGAAUGCUGACAUAAGUAACGAUAAAGCGGGUGAAAAGCCCGCUCGCCGGAAGACCAAGGGUUCCUGUCCAACGUUAAUCGGGGCAGGGUGAGUCGACCCCUAAGGCGAGGCCGAAAGGCGUAGUCGAUGGGAAACAGGUUAAUAUUCCUGUACUUGGUGUUACUGCGAAGGGGGGACGGAGAAGGCUAUGUUGGCCGGGCGACGGUUGUCCCGGUUUAAGCGUGUAGGCUGGUUUUCCAGGCAAAUCCGGAAAAUCAAGGCUGAGGCGUGAUGACGAGGCACUACGGUGCUGAAGCAACAAAUGCCCUGCUUCCAGGAAAAGCCUCUAAGCAUCAGGUAACAUCAAAUCGUACCCCAAACCGACACAGGUGGUCAGGUAGAGAAUACCAAGGCGCUUGAGAGAACUCGGGUGAAGGAACUAGGCAAAAUGGUGCCGUAACUUCGGGAGAAGGCACGCUGAUAUGUAGGUGAAGUCCCUCGCGGAUGGAGCUGAAAUCAGUCGAAGAUACCAGCUGGCUGCAACUGUUUAUUAAAAACACAGCACUGUGCAAACACGAAAGUGGACGUAUACGGUGUGACGCCUGCCCGGUGCCGGAAGGUUAAUUGAUGGGGUUAGCCGCAAGGCGAAGCUCUUGAUCGAAGCCCCGGUAAACGGCGGCCGUAACUAUAACGGUCCUAAGGUAGCGAAAUUCCUUGUCGGGUAAGUUCCGACCUGCACGAAUGGCGUAAUGAUGGCCAGGCUGUCUCCACCCGAGACUCAGUGAAAUUGAACUCGCUGUGAAGAUGCAGUGUACCCGCGGCAAGACGGAAAGACCCCGUGAACCUUUACUAUAGCUUGACACUGAACAUUGAGCCUUGAUGUGUAGGAUAGGUGGGAGGCUUAGAAGUGUGGACGCCAGUCUGCAUGGAGCCGACCUUGAAAUACCACCCUUUAAUGUUUGAUGUUCUAACGUUGACCCGUAAUCCGGGUUGCGGACAGUGUCUGGUGGGUAGUUUGACUGGGGCGGUCUCCUCCUAAAGAGUAACGGAGGAGCACGAAGGUUGGCUAAUCCUGGUCGGACAUCAGGAGGUUAGUGCAAUGGCAUAAGCCAGCUUGACUGCGAGCGUGACGGCGCGAGCAGGUGCGAAAGCAGGUCAUAGUGAUCCGGUGGUUCUGAAUGGAAGGGCCAUCGCUCAACGGAUAAAAGGUACUCCGGGGAUAACAGGCUGAUACCGCCCAAGAGUUCAUAUCGACGGCGGUGUUUGGCACCUCGAUGUCGGCUCAUCACAUCCUGGGGCUGAAGUAGGUCCCAAGGGUAUGGCUGUUCGCCAUUUAAAGUGGUACGCGAGCUGGGUUUAGAACGUCGUGAGACAGUUCGGUCCCUAUCUGCCGUGGGCGCUGGAGAACUGAGGGGGGCUGCUCCUAGUACGAGAGGACCGGAGUGGACGCAUCACUGGUGUUCGGGUUGUCAUGCCAAUGGCACUGCCCGGUAGCUAAAUGCGGAAGAGAUAAGUGCUGAAAGCAUCUAAGCACGAAACUUGCCCCGAGAUGAGUUCUCCCUGACCCUUUAAGGGUCCUGAAGGAACGUUGAAGACGACGACGUUGAUAGGCCGGGUGUGUAAGCGCAGCGAUGCGUUGAGCUAACCGGUACUAAUGAACCGUGAGGCUUAACCUUACAACGCCGAAGCUGUU